CCCUUAGAUGUUCUGGGCCGCACGCGUGCUACACUGAGUGGAUCAGCGGGUCAGGUUGCGCGAAAGCGUUUCCUAAUCUUUAAAUCCGCUCGUGAUGGGGAUUGACGGUUGCAAUUUUCUGUCAUGAACGAGGAAUACCUUGUAAGCGCGGGUCAUCAUCCCGCGCUGAAUACGUCCCUGCCCUUUGUACACACCGCCCGUCGCUCCUACCGAUUGAGUGGUCCGGUGAGGCUUUGGGAUCUGAGCGGAAAGAGCGUUUCGCUGUUUCUGCUCGGAAAACUCAGGCGAACCUUAUCAUUUAGAGGAAGGAGAAGUCGUAACA
Molecule: ribosomal RNA, 322 nt
Filed under: uncultured eukaryote
Lineage: Eukaryota
Description: partial 18S ribosomal RNA
Rfam family: Eukaryotic small subunit ribosomal RNA
Source: RNAcentral